This 292-nucleotide ribosomal RNA is filed under the name uncultured bacterium. Its description in RNAcentral is "partial 16S ribosomal RNA". It matches the Rfam family "Bacterial small subunit ribosomal RNA", at positions 505 to 796 of the family's 1533-position model. The record is from RNAcentral.
GUGUCAGCAGCCGCGGUAAUACGGAGGGGGCUAGCGUUGUUCGGAAUUACUGGGCGUAAAGCGCACGUAGGCGGCGAUUUAAGUCAGGGGUGAAAGCCCAGUGCUCAACACUGGAACUGCCCUUGAGACUGGAUUGCUUGAAUCACGGAGAGGUGGGUGGAAUUCCGAGUGUAGAGGUGAAAUUCGUAGAUAUUCGGAAGAACACCAGUGGCGAAGGCGGCCCACUGGACGUGUAUUGACGCUGAGGUGCGAAAGCGUGGGGAGCAAACAGGAUUAGAUACCCCAGUAGUCC